AUUGUUACCUGCAGACGUUCCACCGGCGGCCAUGCGCUCAUCGCUACGACCGCCACGUGAUCCUCGGGCUCCAUCCUGGGUCCGCGCGGGGAGCACCGAAGCCCGACGCAACCUCUAGGCCAGAAAAUCGCCCCUACUGAGGAAAACACCCGAUUCGUCGCCCGCCGGACAAUGGCGGCGGCGCGGGGGGGGGAUAAUGCUGCGCCUACAACUCCCAGAAGGCCACGCGGUGGGGUGCUGGACCAAUGGGAACUCCUACCCGCUGGGCCUUCGACCAACGGGACGUUUUACCCUUUGGCGAAUGGAAAUUCCCGUACUCCGGAUUUCUGCCAACGGGGCUUUCUGGCUCACUGGCCAAUAGGAACUCAUGUUCUCAGGCUUUCCACCAAUCGAGCAUUCUGGCCCUUCCGGCGGUGUCCUAGCUGUGGAGCCUGGGGCGUCUGCACCAGAGCUGUGGUGGACCGAGAGCGGCGGAAGCUGGGGUAUUUGUUUUAUCCUGGUGAAAAAAGUGAUUUUGUUUUGUCCCACUAGAUCCCUGUGUAAUCUGAGAUCCUCAAUCAAUUCUUGGCAACCAAGGACUCAGAUUCUCCAAUGACUGGAAAAAGAAGAAAGAGAGGACAGCAAAUUUAGUGCCAAAACGGGAGAUAGCAUCUUCACAAUAUCAGGACUGAAUCUGACCCGGACACAAGGGCCAGAACUAGUA
RNAcentral lists this long non-coding RNA (703 nucleotides) under Fukomys damarensis (Damara mole-rat). Its description in RNAcentral is "lncRNA (ENSFDAG00000023996.1)". The record is from RNAcentral. Lineage: Eukaryota; Metazoa; Chordata; Mammalia; Rodentia; Bathyergidae.